AUGAAAAUCCUCUUCAUUACUUUGCUGAUUUUCUCAAUUCAUUUAGGAAAUGAAGUGCAAAUGCUAGAGGCACAAGGAUGCACUAGAAUCAUACCUGGUUUUUGUAGUCAGAAAUGGAAGAAUUUUUUUUGCUACUUGAAUUGCAUGGGAGAAUGUAGUACAUUUGGCGCAAAGGGAGAAUGUCGUAACGAAGACAAAGAUUGUCAUUGUACUUGUUGUUAUUAA
Non-coding RNA from Vicia faba (fava bean), 225 nucleotides. Lineage: Eukaryota; Viridiplantae; Streptophyta; Magnoliopsida; Fabales; Fabaceae. The record is from the annotation of a GenBank genome assembly.